This 293-nucleotide RNase P RNA is filed under the name Marine Group III euryarchaeote. Its description in RNAcentral is "RNase P RNA component". It matches the Rfam family "Archaeal RNase P". From Rfam's summary of the family: Ribonuclease P (RNase P) is a ubiquitous endoribonuclease, found in archaea, bacteria and eukarya as well as chloroplasts and mitochondria. Its best characterised activity is the generation of mature 5'-ends of tRNAs by cleaving the 5'-leader elements of precursor-tRNAs. Cellular RNase Ps are ribonucleoproteins. The record is from RNAcentral. Lineage: Archaea; Methanobacteriati; Thermoplasmatota; Thermoplasmata; Candidatus Thermoprofundales. RNAcentral also lists the same sequence under 1 other name.
AGGAGAUGGAGGGCGGCCGACGGCCUUGAGCUGAGGAAAGUCCCCUCUCCAUGAGCAAAGCAGCCGUAAGGGGCCCGAGAGGGUCGGCAAUGAAGCAGAAACGACACAGCCCCAUCAUGUGGAAUGAUCGUCUUGGACGUGACGUCGAUGGAGGAUUUGAUGAAACGAACAUCCCUGCUGGAGCAAUUCCAAGUAACCGCGACGACCUGCUCGGGAGCGGUAGGUAGGAAGCAUAGCUGAAUGCCGCUAGCCGGAAUUUCCGGGUAACAGAAAGGGGCUUACUCCCAUCACCU